This is a non-coding RNA of Pelobates cultripes (western spadefoot toad), 218 nucleotides long. The record is from the annotation of a GenBank genome assembly. NCBI's taxonomy places the organism in Eukaryota, Metazoa, Chordata, Amphibia, Anura, Pelobatidae.
AUACAUUAUCAGCACCAGUUGGCUUGAUGUAAAUUCAAAAGUUGCCACUCCGGCCUAGAUUACCUUGUUAAUGCAUAGAACUCUGCACUCUAAUGGUUUGCCCCCAGAAUUGCUCUCAGCCCAUGUAAUCACCCAAGCCAAACUGGGUCAACAUCCGACUAGUUUUGAAAAUGUCCAUUUGAUUUCAUUUUUAAACUCAUGCUGAACGUUUUGUUAAC